Molecule: ribosomal RNA, 543 nt
Filed under: Triticum aestivum (bread wheat)
Lineage: Eukaryota; Viridiplantae; Streptophyta; Magnoliopsida; Poales; Poaceae
Description: partial small subunit ribosomal RNA
Source: RNAcentral
AUGGGGAACUGCCAGGCGGCGGAGGUGGCGGCGGCGGUGGUGCAGCACCCGGGCGGGCGGGUGGAGCGGCUCUACUGGUCCACGCCCGCGGCGGAGGUGAUGCGCGCCAACCCGGGCCACUACGUCGCGCUCGUCACGCUCCGCGUCGCCGAGGAGCGCCAGGACGCCGACGGCGGCGGCGCGCGCCGCACCGUGCGCCUCACCCGCGUCAAGCUCCUCAAGCCCAAGGAGACGCUGCUCCUCGGCCACGCCUACCGCCUCAUCACCGCCAACGAGGUGACCAAGGCGGUGCAGGCGAGGAAGGAGGAGAAGCUGAGGAAGGCGCGGCAGCAGCUGCAGCAGCUGGAGUUGUCGACGCGGCAGAGCAAGCUGCGGCCGGCGGCGGACGGUGACGACGUCGACGACGACGACGACGAGGCCAGCUUGGAUGAGAGUCUCGAUCAGUUGGCGCGGCAGGACGGAGGAGACGGCCACCGGAGCUCCGGCGCCCGGCACCGGCAAUGGCGGCCCUCGCUGCACAGCAUCGACGAGGCCGCGAGCUGA